This 503-nucleotide ribosomal RNA is filed under the name uncultured bacterium. Its description in RNAcentral is "bacterial SSU rRNA". It matches the Rfam family "Bacterial small subunit ribosomal RNA", at positions 18 to 518 of the family's 1533-position model. The record is from RNAcentral.
UCUGGUUCAGGAUGAACGCUGCGGCGUGCCUAACACAUGCAAGUCGAACGAAGAUAUGUUGAAGGAGGCUUCGGCCAAUGGAUACAUAUACUUAGUGGCGGACGGGUGAGUAACGCGUGAGGAACCUGCCUUUCGAGGGGGAUAACGUUUGGAAACGAACGCUAAUACCGCAUAACACUUUCUUGUCGCAUGGCAGAGAAGUCAAAGGAGCAAUCCGCCGAGAGAUGGACUCGCGUCUGAUUAGAUAGUUGGCGGGGUAAAGGCCCACCAAGUCGACGAUCAGUAGCCGGACUGAGAGGUUGAACGGCCACAUUGGGACUGAGACACGGCCCAGACUCCUACGGGAGGCAGCAGUGAGGGAUAUUGCACAAUGGGCGCAAGCCUGAUGCAGCCAACGCCGCGUGAGUGAAGACGGCCUUCGGGUUGUAAAGCUCUGUUUUAGGUGACGAACAAAUGACGGUAGCCUGAUAGAAAGCCACGGCUAACUACGUGCCAGCAGCAGC